GAUGAACGCUAGCUACAGGCUUAACACAUGCAAGUCGAGGGGAAACGGCAUUGAGUGCUUGCACUCUUUGGACGUCGACCGGCGCACGGGUGAGUAACGCGUAUCCAACCUUCCCAUUACUGUGGGAUAACCUGCCGAAAGGCAGACUAAUACCGCAUAGUCUUCGAUGACGGCAUCAGAUUUGAAGUAAAGAUUUAUCGGUAAUGGAUGGGGAUGCGUCUGAUUAGCUUGUUGGCGGGGUAACGGCCCACCAAGGCUACGAUCAGUAGGGGUUCUGAGAGGAAGGUCCCCCACAUUGGAACUGAGACACGGUCCAAACUCCUACGGGAGGCAGCAGUGAGGAAGAUUGGUCAAGGGACGGAAGUCUGAACCAGCCAAGUAGCGUGCAGGAUGACGGCCCUAUGGGUGGUAAACUGCUUUUGUAUGGGGAUAAAGUUAGGGACGUGUCCCUAUUUGCAGGUACCAUACGAAUAAGGACCGGCUAAUUCCGUG
Molecule: ribosomal RNA, 492 nt
Filed under: uncultured bacterium
Lineage: Bacteria
Description: partial 16S ribosomal RNA
Rfam family: Bacterial small subunit ribosomal RNA
Source: RNAcentral